AGGAAGGAGGCUGGGGCCCUUUUGCUGAUACUCUGUGAGAGGGCACUGACCGUACACUACAGCGUUCAGCUGGGGAUGGCAGCAGAUGAAGAACGUGGUGGGGGAAACGCCCCUUACCCUCCAGGGCAAAGGUCAACCAGCCUCACUGGCUGAAUUGCUACUCCAGCAGCAGCCCUCACAGCGAAGAGAAAAGAUAUCAAGUAGAAACUUCCAGGUAGUGCUACUGGUAUGCUAAGGGCUACUGAAGCAUAGCAGCACAAAUGCGUCAUGCUGUUUUCCAGCCGCUCCAUCUAGCUACCAGAGAUAGGCCUCUGGAAACAGCCAUGACCAGUAUUCACACUGCCAGGACAACUGAAGUGAUGCAAGAUUUUUGGUGGAUUACAAGCAGGCAAAAGUGAGGAAAGGUGGAGGAACAUCCAAAGUUCUUCACAGUAGGACUUGUGAAGUGAAUAGGUACGAAGGGAAAACCAGACUAUAGAUCACUUCAGCACAGUGCGUGGGCUAGAUGCGAGGGGAGCACAGGAAGGAAAGAACCAAAUCUUGGAGUUGGGGUGGGAAAUGGAGCAUAAAGAACUUGUAAAAAUAUUUGUUGAUUUGGAUGAAAACUGAUACAAUCCAGUGUCUGGGUUAGAGCAAGGGGUUGUUUAGCUUUGAGGGUUAUAGCAGAAUAGAAGUGAGGGUUCAAUGUACAGACUUCUCCACCAGACAAAGAUGCAGAAAUGUGUACACAAUGCAGGGGUGUUAGGAUCCUUGGAGCAGAGUCCCGCAGGCCACUCUGAGUGGAGCACCAUGCAGCACAGCCCAGCCCAGCCCAGUUAUGUCCAGGAGGGGAGGAACUGGAGUCAGGGUUUGCAAAGAGAGUGGCAGGGGGAGGACAGUUGCUUGAAAUAAACCAGAAGCAAGAGGCAUUAGAGGUACAAGGGGAAGACACAACAGUAAAGAGGACAGGACAUGAGGGCUGGACAGAUGGCAGAAAUGGGUCCGGAUCCAGGUCCCAGUGGAACUGAAUGAACAGGACUGAUGUACAAUGGCUGAGAGGAUCUUGCCCUGUGUCACCCACACUGAGACACAUGAAUGCAGCAGACUUUAUACAUACCCUGUGAUCCAACACAGCAAAAUGUUUAUUAACAAAAAUAAUUUAUUCUACUAACACAAGCAUAGACACAAUGACAGCAUGAGAAGCCAGGCACUUGGAGACUUCAUCUCUUCCAGAGAACAGGGAAGAUGAUGGAUUACAAACCAAAUCACCCCUUUAAAGAGAAGAAA
This is a long non-coding RNA of Gavialis gangeticus (Gharial), 1266 nucleotides long. RefSeq lists it as uncharacterized. NCBI's taxonomy places the organism in Eukaryota, Metazoa, Chordata, Crocodylia, Gavialidae. The transcript has 2 exons. The record is from RefSeq and is a predicted model, not a curated record.